UCGCCCCCCCCCCUCCGCCGCAUGGGAUCCUCCCCCGCAAACUGCAUCUGCUCCAGGCACUCAGGAUCAUCUCGGGUGUCCCGUUUUUUUGCAUCUCAGAGGUGGCAACCCAACCAACUCCUCCUCUGCCUUGUGGGACCCUCUGCAACUCACGCCCCCCUCUGGCCCAGGGGACCCCCCUUUUCCCUCCCCUGCUUCUCUCCGUGAGCCCUCUUCUCUCAGCUGUUCCCUCUCUAGUAUCCUCUUCCCCACAGCUCCCUCCCUCUCCCCCCUGCAUGGCCUACCUCACUGUCCUCAAGCUACUCGACCUGUCUCUACCUCCUCCACCAUGUGGCAGUGUCUUCACCUCCUUCUCCACAAGGUCCCCUAUAAACGGCCCACUGGCCUAGAUGCUGCUGUAACCCCUCGUCAGUCUCAGCACUUGUGGAAAACCCUGUUUUUCUUGGGAUGGGCUCUCACGCUUACUUACUGUUCUCCAGCUGAGGGGUUUCAGGGUUUGCCAUCUCCUCUUCACCAAAACAGCUAUGGCAGAACUCUGCUCCAUAACCUGUGGGGUGGGGGAGACUUCUUAAACAUUAGGGUGUUGUUUGCUAGCAUCCAUACAACUAGUAAUAAUAUUACAGUGCCUUGUCAAGCCCUUCUCAUCAAAGGAUCCCACAAAGGUUUAAGCCUUACCAGGCCUCCUUGAAGAGACUGGCCAUUUGGAAACAUUGCAUCCACAAUGCUGAAGAAGUGUGUGACAGUCUUGGCAGCUGUGCAACUGAGGAAGACAGGUGGAGAUGGUCAGAGGGAACCUGAGUUCUGACUGCAUAGCACUAAUCCUAGAGCAGUUC
Long non-coding RNA from Mauremys mutica (yellowpond turtle), 833 nucleotides. RefSeq lists it as uncharacterized. The transcript is spliced from 3 exons. Lineage: Eukaryota; Metazoa; Chordata; Testudines; Geoemydidae. The record is from RefSeq and is a predicted model, not a curated record.